GAUGAACGCUGGCGGCGUGCCUAAUACAUGCAAGUCGAGCGAACGGACGGGAAGCUUGCUUCUCUGAUGUUAGCGGCGGACGGGUGAGUAACACGUGGAUAACCUCCCUAUAAGACUGGGAUCACUUCGGGACACCGGCGCUAAUACCGGAUAAUAUUUUGCACCGCAUGGUUCAAAAGUGAAAGACGGUCUUGCUGUCACUUAUAGAUGGAUCCGCGCUGCAUUAGCUAGUUGGUAAGGUAACGGCUUACCAAGGCAACGAUGCAUAGCCGACCUGAGAGGGUGAUCGGCCACACGGGAACUGAGACACGGUCCAGACUCCUACGGGAGGCAGCAGUAGGGAAUCUUCCGCAAUGGGCGAAAGCCUGACGGAGCAACGCCGCGUGAGUGAUGAAGGUCUUCGGAUCGUAAAACUCUGUUAUUAGGGAAGAACAUAUGUGUAAGUAACUGUGCACAUCUUGACGGUACCUAAUCAGAAAGCCACGGCUAACUACGUG
Molecule: ribosomal RNA, 497 nt
Filed under: uncultured bacterium
Lineage: Bacteria
Description: partial 16S ribosomal RNA
Rfam family: Bacterial small subunit ribosomal RNA
Source: RNAcentral